This is an RNA transcript of Eucalyptus grandis, 1158 nucleotides long. It is a transcript of the gene named isoleucine--tRNA ligase, chloroplastic/mitochondrial-like, with no coding region annotated. The transcript has 4 exons. The record is from RefSeq and is a predicted model, not a curated record. NCBI's taxonomy places the organism in Eukaryota, Viridiplantae, Streptophyta, Magnoliopsida, Myrtales, Myrtaceae.
UCCCCACCCUUCCCCAUCGCUCUCUCCCUCGUGACGACUGCGAGCUCAACUGUGCUCUUCCCCAUCGCUCUCUCCCUCGUGAAGACUGCGAGCUCGACUGCGCUCUUCGCUGCUCGAUUAUGCUUUUUGCUGCUCGAUUGCGCUCUUCGCUGUCCUGGGGCGUCGUCUGAGGUUUGAGUUAAGCAUUUUAUCCACUUCUUCCUCGACGCAAUCCCAGAGCCGAAAGGCUGUCUUGCUUCGAUGCUUCAAUGCUUUAGAAGCACUCGUUUCAACUCCGUUUUAUCCAAUUCGAGAGCCACCCAAGAUGGUCAUGAUUCAUGCUUCUCCUUACAAGGGGGUAAGCAAGAUGAGGGUAGAUACAAGCACACAGUUGCUCUACCUAGGACAAGUUUUGGGAUGAGAGCAAAUGCUUCUGUUAGAGAGCCAGAAAUACAGAAAUCGUGGGACGAAAACCAGGUGUUUGAAAGGAUUGUCAGCAGAAACAGUGGGCUUCUUCAGAAUUAUAAAGUACACUAUGUUCUUGGUUAGGAUUGACAUGGCCUACCAAUUGAACUAAAAGGCAUGUACUUUUAAGUUAUAUCUGUAUACUUCAGUUAUCUGUGGAGCACAACCUUGUAUUUGUGUAUGUGAAAUACUUCUGACUAGUGACACGCAUUCAUUUAUUCCUUCGUCGUAGUGCUACAGUCAUUAGACAAAGAUGCCAGGAAAGACCUCACUCCAAUUAAGUUGAGAGAAAAGGCAGAGAAAUUUGCCAAGUCCACUGUUAAAACUUAGAUGGCAUCAUUCAAGCGAUAUGGGGUGUGGGCUGCCUGGAAUAACCCUUACCUUACUCUUGAUCCUGAGUAUGAAGAAGAAGUGGAAGACUUUGAAGAGUAUGCCAAGUUAUUCAUAUACAAAGCAAAUGAAAAUUGUGAUAGCAACGAUGACUUUGCACAAUUAUAUACAAAAAAAUGCCCUGAAUGAUGCACAUUUUGUUAGAGUGGAUUUAUAUCUCAAUUUAUGUACAAUAGAUUCUGAUGAUGUAAAUGGGGAGGGUAAUGAUUCAAAUGAUGAUGUAGCAUUUGAUAUGGCACGCUUACGCGAUCAAAUGGCUAUGAAUUUAUGAAGUAAUUAAGGAUAUUUGUAAUUUUUAAGGAUAAUGAGCUUCUUUCCUCAAAA